RNAcentral lists this ribosomal RNA (626 nucleotides) under uncultured Burkholderiales bacterium. RNAcentral describes it as "bacterial SSU rRNA". It matches the Rfam family "Bacterial small subunit ribosomal RNA", at positions 78 to 688 of the family's 1533-position model. Lineage: Bacteria; Pseudomonadati; Pseudomonadota; Betaproteobacteria; Burkholderiales. The record is from RNAcentral.
CUUCGGGAUGCCGGCGAGCGGCGAACGGGUGAGUAAUGUAUCGGAACGUACCCAUUAGUGGGGGAUAACUACGCGAAAGCGUGGCUAAUACCGCGUACGCCCCUUUGGCGACAUUGGGGGAAAGCAGGGGACCCUUUUGGGCCUUGCGCUAUUGGAGCGGCCGAUAUCGGAUUAGUUUGUUGGUGUGGUAAUGGCCUACCAAGGCGAUGAUCCGUAGCUGGUUUGAGAGGAUGACCAGCCACACUGGGACUGAGACACGGCCCAGACUCCUACGGGAGGCAGCAGUGGGGAAUUUUGGACAAUGGGGGCAACCCUGAUCCAGCCAUUUCGCGUGUGCGAUGAAGGCCUUCGGGUUGUAAAGCACUUUUGGCGGGGAAGAAACGGCGGUCUCUAACAUAGACUGUUACUGACGGUACCCGCAGAACAAGCACCGGCUAACUACGUGCCAGCAGCCGCGGUAAUACGUAGGGUGCGAGCGUUAAUCGGAAUUACUGGGCGUAAAGGGUGCGCAGGCGGUUUGUCAAGAAAGGUGUGAAAUCCCCGUGCUCAACAUGGGAACUGCACUUUUAACUGACAGGCUAGAGUGUGUCAGAGGGGGGUAGAAUUCCACGUGUAGCAGUGAAAUG